This 301-nucleotide ribosomal RNA is filed under the name uncultured bacterium. RNAcentral describes it as "partial 16S ribosomal RNA". It matches the Rfam family "Bacterial small subunit ribosomal RNA", at positions 509 to 809 of the family's 1533-position model. The record is from RNAcentral.
CAGCAGCCACGGUAAUACGGAGGGUGCAAGCGUUAAUCGGAAUUACUGGGCGUAAAGCGCACGCAGGCGGUCUGUCAAGUCGGAUGUGAAAUCCCCGGGCUCAACCUGGGAACUGCAUUCGAAACUGGCAGGCUAGAGUCUUGUAGAGGGGGGUAGAAUUCCAGGUGUAGCGGUGAAAUGCGUAGAGAUCUGGAGGAAUACCGGUGGCGAAGGCGGCCCCCUGGACAAAGACUGACGCUCAGGUGCGAAAGCGUGGGGAGCAAACAGGAUUAGAUACCCGUGUAGUCCCUGUCUCUUAUAA